Pectinophora gossypiella (pink bollworm) is the source of this 1423-nucleotide long non-coding RNA. RefSeq lists it as uncharacterized. The record is from RefSeq and is a predicted model, not a curated record. The transcript is spliced from 2 exons. NCBI's taxonomy places the organism in Eukaryota, Metazoa, Arthropoda, Insecta, Lepidoptera, Gelechiidae.
CCAACUUAAAUCUAAAUUUAUCUUAGAAAACCUAAUUUUAUUUUAGUUUAGCAAAAAGUGCAAUUCUGGCUUUCCGGUCGUCUAAAUUUAAAAUAUUUUACGAAGAUUUUUGACAUGCUUAAAUUUAAUAGAACGUCUACGAGGUCUAUGGUCAACCAGCUGGUGCCGUUUUUUUCGUAAAGAAUUGGUAAAGAAGAAUGAAUGAAAGUGAGUGAAUGAAAUCGUCAUUCGAACAAAAAAAAUACAUGUUUUUCUUAUAAUUUCGUACGAAGGAAUACAAAAUCAUAAUUUAUGUGUGUUUUAGGAGCAAAUACAAUAAAUAAAUGCAAUAAGACAUUUUUCUAUGAAUUUUAAAACAUACAUCUGGCAUUAUUCUAAACCAUAAAAAACACAGCGUCAAGAUCAUAAAAAAAACGUGUUGAGAUUAGGUAUCGUUAGGUUUUCAAAUCAAAAAUACUUAAUAAAACAGAAAAAUGACUAAAUAAAAGGACGUCGAUGAAGAGGAAGACCAAGGCGGAAGUAGUAAAAGUGGAAGUUGUGUUGUAUCAGAACGACGGAACUCGCUGUGAAUGCAUAUUAAAAGUCCUCAACCAACAAGACUCCUAUCUUCUUCUUCGUCGUUCCCUCACUGCUGAGAAUCGCAACCACAGGUCAUGGUUGUCCAUUUGGUACGGCUAUAUGCUGCGUGCACCGCCCUCUGUAUGCUGCCGCCCACCGUCUCCUUCACGAUGUCAGACCACCUCGUAGGCGCCCUUCCUCGCGCACGUUUGCCAUCCAUUUGCCCAACGAUGAUCUGCUUCUCCAGACUGUGCUUCGGAGACCGCAUAAUAUGUCCGAAGAAGCUUAGGGCACGAUUCCGGCAUAUUGGGGAGACUCAUUCGUACACGUAAAUAGCCUUAAAUUACCAAGUAGAGAAAGUCCAGCGUGAGGUGAGCACGAAGUUUUGAAGACAGGAGUGAUUGUAUUAGAUUUCCUCCUGAGCAGUUGCACUACAAAUUAAGUGAUGAAGAGGUGAGUGAUCGAAAAAAUAUGUCAUAGAAGAACUUGUAAACAUCAUAUUAAUCUGAGUUACUUGUAUUAAUCAGAUUUUUUACUAAUUUUCAGGCAAUACUUGACAGAAACCUUGAGUGGGAUGACAUAAUUAUAAAAAAAAUCAAUAAGACGAUGAACUCGUAAUGUUUAUAAAACAUUAGUAUGGAAGAAUAUUUGUGCAUCUUGGAGCAAUGGCAACAUAUUUGGGAGUUGUGAGUGACAACGAGCAGAUUACAUAACAAUGGGAGAAUAACAAGGGCCUUAACUGAAAAAACUGGUGAAUGUUCCCAAAUAAACCUCACAGAUGUAGAAGAAAGACAAAAUAAAUUUGUUUAUUUAUUUUAUUUCUGUUCCCUACUAAACUAGUAAUAAAACAUACUUGUUACAAAUA